RNAcentral lists this long non-coding RNA (697 nucleotides) under Phascolarctos cinereus (koala). Its description in RNAcentral is "lncRNA (ENSPCIG00000009726.2)". Lineage: Eukaryota; Metazoa; Chordata; Mammalia; Diprotodontia; Phascolarctidae. The record is from RNAcentral.
GAAGCUUGAAACCAAAAACUACAAUGCAAAAAUUCUGUCACCUUCUACUCUUCUCUGCUUUGAUCUCUUCUGCCAGCUUGGCACCCAUCACUCCGAAAACAAGAGAACCCGACCUGGAGACUAUCAUUGCUCAAACUCUGGAAUUAUCACGUAAUAUCACUAUGGACCCAGGAAAGGAUAGAGAGGUGAAAAUUGUUUCAGAGGAAUUCAACAGGCAGGAGCCCAAAUGCAUACAGACACAUAUAAAGACUUUUUCUGAUGGUUUACAUGUAAGGGACCAAGCAAUCAAGAAAAACCUAGAAAGGAUUGCUGCACGCUUCAAUGCUUCUUCCUGUCCCGCACUCGAUGAAACUUCCUGCAGCUUCCGAAUACCUGAUCAUGAAGAAUUCAAAACUCAAUUAAUUCAGUUUUUAGAAGAGAUCCCCUCUGACUGCCAGAACCUGAAACCUCCAUCAUCUGCUAAGAACUGACCUGCACCAAAGCCUUCACUGUCCAGAGCCUGUCUCCUUUGCCCCCUCAGGGAAACAGAGCCCAGGCCAAGACUGAGUUUUCAGUCUGGCAAGAGACUGGGCUACUAGCUUCAGCUCCACAGGAUCUCCCAGGUGCAAAGGGCUCCCGGGGUCCUAAAUGGGGUCAGGUUCUGUUACGUUUACAUGGACCUCUACAUAAACUUUGGGACUCGUUUUGCUGUGUUGGG